RNAcentral lists this ribosomal RNA (489 nucleotides) under Daphnia studeri. RNAcentral's name for it is "partial 16S ribosomal RNA". It matches the Rfam family "Bacterial large subunit ribosomal RNA", at positions 1832 to 2588 of the family's 2925-position model. Lineage: Eukaryota; Metazoa; Arthropoda; Branchiopoda; Diplostraca; Daphniidae. The record is from RNAcentral.
CUCCUCUUGUUAAAUAAGAGGUACCGUCUGCUCAAUGCAUAUUGUAAAUAGCCGCAGUAUUCUGACUGUGCUAAGGUAGCAUAAUCAUUAGUCUUUUAAUUGAAGGCUGGUAUGAAUGACGAGACGAGAAAGUAGCUGUCUCUAAAAUAAAUUUUCGAAUUUUACUUCUAAGUGAAAAGGCUUAGAUUUUUUUGAAGGACGAUCAGACCCUUUGGAGCUUUAUUCAUUUUAAAACCUUAGUUUUUAACAAAUGACUGGGUCGAAGAUGAAUUUUGUUGGGGCGACAGGGAGUAAAAAUAACACUCUUUUCUUAAAACAAUUAUUAUUGGAAAGUUGAUCCUCAAUGAGAGAUCAAAAGACUAAGUUACCCUAGGGAUAACAGCGUAAUCUUUUUGGAGAGUUCUAAUCGAUAAAAAGGUUUGCGACCUCGAUGUUGGAUUAAGAGAUUAGCAAGGUGCAGAAGUUUUGCUGGAGAGUCUGUUCGACUCU